UUUCUGAAACAGGAAAAAAAAGAAUUAGAUGAAAUUUGUAAUAACCAUGUGUAACCUGGGUAUGUUAGACUCUGCUAGAAACAAUUGCAUGCCUUACUGCUCAGCCUAUUUUUAGGAGGUGUAAGCAACUAGCAUCUUGAACGAACCUAGUGGCUGAUGUUCCCUGUUUUAUUGUUUUAUCUCUUAAGACCAGUCUCUACCUGGUAAAGGAGACUAACCUCACCUCUUCUAGGUAAAGAAACAGACUUUUCACACCUUCUGGGGAAAGAAGUAGACUGACCCAUCCCUACUGGGUAGAGACACAGACUGACCCACCCCUUCUGGGUAAAGAAACAGACUUACCUACACCUACUGGAGAAGAAACAGAGUGACACACCGCUACUGGGUACCUACAACCAUAUAACUGUGUGAUGGGUGCCUUCAUGGUACCUGUACUAGUUGCGGUGGAGAACCCGUAGCUUGCUGUAAAACCUGUGCUACUGUUGGGUAUUUUGGUUGCUGGAACAGAAAAAUGUUAUCGACAAUGAAAGACGUUAAAGGUUGAGAUACUUUUAUGUUUGUAGUACUGUGUUAUGAUAGCGGUACUUCUGCAUCUGCAUAAAAGUAAAACCAUGGGUAUAGAAAGUAGUAAACUAUGCAAUAAAGUUCAUGAGGUCGUAA
Molecule: long non-coding RNA, 660 nt
Organism: Nematostella vectensis (starlet sea anemone)
Lineage: Eukaryota; Metazoa; Cnidaria; Anthozoa; Actiniaria; Edwardsiidae
Exons: 2
Source: RefSeq, a predicted model, not a curated record